AAACGAUGGUGACAAGUUUGAAUGCGACAACAGUUAAAAAGGACUGGAGACCACAGCAGCGAUUCUGCUCUUGCCCAACCUCUUCAACGAGGAACCGAGUGGCCUUUAUGUCCAUGACAAGAUUUCACCACUCUUCACUCCUUUACUGCACAUCGGUG
Salmo salar (Atlantic salmon) is the source of this 158-nucleotide non-coding RNA. The record is from RefSeq and is a predicted model, not a curated record. Lineage: Eukaryota; Metazoa; Chordata; Actinopteri; Salmoniformes; Salmonidae.